AAUUAACAAAAUGACACGUAAAACUAUUCAUAGAUCAAUAAAAGUGAAAGUAAAUUAAUGAUUUUUUAAAAGCAAUUUGAUGAUUCCAAAGGAGUCAGUAGAGAGAAAAAGAUGCUUAAUUAGCAUGGUUCAUCCAUCUGGACACAUAUAGGAUGUCUAUAAUAGGUUGGCCAACCUUUUAUUUAUUUAUUUAUUUUUGCUG
This 202-nucleotide long non-coding RNA is filed under the name Elaeis guineensis (African oil palm). Its description in RNAcentral is "long non-coding RNA (EGUI_LNC077043)". The record is from RNAcentral. Lineage: Eukaryota; Viridiplantae; Streptophyta; Magnoliopsida; Arecales; Arecaceae.